RNAcentral lists this ribosomal RNA (90 nucleotides) under Pedobacter sp. BMA. Lineage: Bacteria; Pseudomonadati; Bacteroidota; Sphingobacteriia; Sphingobacteriales; Sphingobacteriaceae. The record is from RNAcentral.
AUCGGUGGUGUCCACCUCUUCCCAUUCCGAACAGAGAAGUUAAGCCCACCAGAGCCGAUGGUACUGCGGUAACACGUGGGAGAGUAGGUC